CCUACGGGAGGCAGCAGUGGGGAAUAUUGGACAAUGGGCGCAAGCCUGAUCCAGCCAUGCCGCGUGGAUGAUGAAGGCCUUAGGGUUGUAAAAUCCUUUCGGCGGGGAAGCGGUACCCGCAGAAGAAGCCCCGGCUAACUUCGUGCCAGCAGCCGCGGGAAUACGAAGGGGGCUAGCGUUGCUCGGAAUCACUGGGCGUAAAGCGCACGUAGGCGGCUUUUUAAGUCAGGGGUGAAAUCCUGGAGCUCAACUCCAGAACUGCCUUUGAUACUGAGAAGCUUGAGUUCGGGAGAGGUGAGUGGAACUGCGAGUGUAGAGGUGAAAUUCGUAGAUAUUCGCAAGAACACCAGUGGCGAAGGCGGCUCACUGGCCCGUCUGACGCUGAGGUGCGAAAGCGUGGGGAGCAAACAGGAUUAAUACCCUUGUAGUC
RNAcentral lists this ribosomal RNA (430 nucleotides) under uncultured bacterium. Its description in RNAcentral is "partial 16S ribosomal RNA". It matches the Rfam family "Bacterial small subunit ribosomal RNA", at positions 338 to 795 of the family's 1533-position model. The record is from RNAcentral.